This 1154-nucleotide long non-coding RNA is filed under the name Fukomys damarensis (Damara mole-rat). RNAcentral describes it as "lncRNA (ENSFDAG00000022523.1)". Lineage: Eukaryota; Metazoa; Chordata; Mammalia; Rodentia; Bathyergidae. The record is from RNAcentral.
AUGUCUCCGGGGUUCGUCCCUGAAAGAUUCACUGGAGCAAUGCAGCUCAGGCCACUUUCAGGGAGACCGCAGAGUCACCAAAGGCACCCACCUGCCUCUAAGCCGGAAGAGCCCGCGUCCACGAUGCUCUGUGAAGCUCCGUUGCCCGAAGACAUGGGUCGUCCAGGAGCCUGUGAUCGUCCCUGCGGGGCACACCCACGUGCUCACGGGGCUCCAGUUCACAGAAAGGCCCCACACCCUCCUGGUCCCUUUAUUUUUAAUUUUUAUUUUAUGAGCACAUCUUUGCAGUACUUUGUGACCGCUUCAUCCAUUGCGGCGAGUCGGUACAAAUACAUAGCACAUCUCCAUUCUUUCUUCCUCCCUUCCCCGCCCCUCCACCCCUUGGUCCCAUCUCUUUUGCAGGGGAUCUAUCUUCCCAUUUUCUAUCUUCAAUCUUUUAUUUUGUUUUUAAAAAUGAUUUAUACUUUGAGUUUCUCAUAAGAGAGAAGUUGUUCACUAUUUAAGCCUGUGUGUCUGGUUUAUUUAUUCCAGCUGACUUUAUGGUCUCGAAGUGCACUCUUUUCCUACCAAUGACUUGAAAUCCUUCUUCAUGGCAAAGUCAUACUCCUUGGUAUAGAAAAAACAAAUUUUCUUUUUCCAUUCAUCUGUUUCUGGGCAUAUAGGCUGUUUCCAAGAUUUUGCUACUAUGGGCUGUGCUGCUAUGGGUAAGUACCAACCACGGUAAUGCGUCUUCUGACUCUUUCUGGAAGCCACCUAGACAGGGAGUAGCUGAGUUGGAUGGAAUUUCCACUCAGGAGGGAGCGUCGGAGGGUGGCUGCUGCCCCAGGCCAGGAGAAGCCUGCUGGCCACAGACCUGGAGUGCUGGACACCCUGAGCCCCCUGUGCCCACACUGUUCUCUGGGUACCACAGCUCCCUCCCCUGAGGCACUCUGGGCUGUGCUGCUGGGUCUGGGUCUGCUGUGUGGGUCACCUGGGGUGCUCACCUUCCAGCAGAGCUGAAGUCUGCACCUCAUCUGGAGGGGCCAGGGUGGCCCCAAAUCUUCACGCUGGAAACACAGCAUUUAUCUUCCACUGCCAGUGUCCCCCAGUAAAGUCUCCCCAAGACUACUGAGGUUCCAUUCAUAUCCAGGGCUGUACGCUCAGUGCCAUCUAGC